RNAcentral lists this unclassified non-coding RNA (150 nucleotides) under soil metagenome. Its description in RNAcentral is "partial internal transcribed spacer 1". The record is from RNAcentral.
ACGUAGUUAGGGCCUCUGGCCCGAACCUCCAACCCUUUGUAUCAAAACCUCGUUGCCUCGGGGAGGCCCUGCCUCACGGCAUGGCCUCCCCGAUGGACCACUAAACUCUGCAUCUGUAUGACGUCUGAGUAAAGAUUUUAAAUUAAAUCA